Salarias fasciatus (jewelled blenny) is the source of this 1061-nucleotide long non-coding RNA. RefSeq lists it as uncharacterized. The record is from RefSeq and is a predicted model, not a curated record. NCBI's taxonomy places the organism in Eukaryota, Metazoa, Chordata, Actinopteri, Blenniiformes, Blenniidae. The transcript has 4 exons.
AUACGUUCAACUGACAGGUGGUUUGGUGAAGAUAAGGAGCAGCUGCUCUCUCUCUCUCUCUCUCUCUCUCUCUCGCUCUCGCUCUCGCUCUCUCUCUCUCAUAAAAGAGGAAAGUGGGGUUCAUUAAUUCAGACCCCAGCAGGAACUGAAGAGUCACAUCAGUCCAUCUACUGAAAGAGGGAUUUCUGCCUGUUUUGACUGUUUUCGUGGAUUUUAUCAGCCCAGCUGAAGACGGUCGAGCCAUCGGCAGAGCAGCAGCACCAACCGUCCUCCUUCCUCCAGGACUUCUGGGCCAGAACACAGUGACCCCGUCAGCCACUGAUGCCCAGGAUUUAAAGUCCAGCUGUUCUGGAUGUGUUGCUGACAGUCCAUCAGAGAGAAGCAGACCUCACAGCUGCAGGAAGCUGCUUCACUCCGCCUCAGCUUCCCCACUGGUCUGGUGCUGGACGCCCCCUGCUGGCACAAACGGGGAAUGGCAGAGACAGUCUAAGUACAGGAUGAAAACAAACUGCUUUAGUGACCUGCAGCGACCUUUAGUAACCUUUAGUGACCUGCAGCGACCUGCAAGAAUGAGGAAUCUUUGUCGUCACACCACACCACAUGACCACGCCCUUUAAACCCAAAUCAUGAAGGUCAGGAUGAAGAUGACCUGACAGCAUCAGCAUGUCUGUAAGGCGGAGCUUCAGCACCACGGACAGCGACUGUGUCCUGCUGACGUCCAUCAAGGGAGACGAAGCCGACCAGGAAGCGUCAACAACUGUCCAUAUCCCAUCAUGCACCAGGGGUUGCUCCAGACAGGCUGUGGCUCCAGAGUGUAACCCAGGUGGGAAAACGGGGUUUUCCAUUGAAAUUUCCUGAAUGAAUUCCCCUGAAGACUAACAGGCUUCUUGCACAUUGCUGCCGGUGGAGCGUGAGGGUGUGGGCGAGUACUUCCUGUCCAAGCUUCCGGUGGUUUCAGAGGGAGAGGGGGAGAAAAAAGUUCUUUUAUUACGUAGUUUUUAAAUGUCUUAAUGGCCUCACGCCUUCUUAUUUAGCUGAUCUGUUUUUACCCUAUUGACCCU